Molecule: long non-coding RNA, 1231 nt
Filed under: Equus asinus (donkey)
Lineage: Eukaryota; Metazoa; Chordata; Mammalia; Perissodactyla; Equidae
Description: lncRNA (ENSEASG00005036910.1)
Source: RNAcentral
AAGAAACAUAGAACUGAGAAAUUGUAGGAGAGAGUAUUGGAGACUUCUAGCCAUGUUGAAAAGUCCUAUCCCUCUUAAUGUGGAGCAGAGAACUUUCAAGGACGAUCAUUUUGAAAGAGGAGUCUGAGCCAUGAUAAAAAGGCUAUGGCAAUUGAUUAUGGUUUUCCCCACCCAAUCCUGCCCCCUCCACAUUUAUCUUUCCUAUUGUCACCCCUAAUACACCCUUUAUGGUUCUAACUCAGUGUCAGCGUCUGCUUUUUGGAGGACCAACCGACUCACUCCAGGGAGUGUACACAGUGUGAGUCUUGUACGCGCAGUUCAAAAACAGGCAGAAACCAUGGGAAUGAGGCAGAAGCAAGGUUAUUUUGGGAGGGGUACUGUUGACUGCGAGGGGCCUGAGAAGUCCUUCUGUGGUGGUGGACACAUCCUACAUCUGGAUCUGGCUGUGGUUGUGUUUGUUCAGUCAGUAAAUACUCACAUGGUGCCUGCCAGUCCCAGGGGUGUCUGGUGAUCAGAGAGACAGCUAUCUGUCCCCAGGAAGUGGCCGAUUUCUGAUGGUGGGGAAUAGAUGAGGAACCGGGAGUGGCUCCGGGAGACCAGUGAAGAGGCCCUGCGGCAAUCCAGGUUUUGUGCCCUUCACUCAACUUGCCAGCUGCCCCCCAAUAGCACCAAGUCCAGGAGGCUUUGUGGGGAGUUGAUGGAAGCACAGUUUUUUGUAAGUCCCAUGAGGUCCCAUAAUCCUCCCAUGAUUUCCUUACUGAGGGAUGGGCAGGGCAGAGAUCAAUGGCAUGGGACCCCCCACAUACCUCAAGGAGAAGGUGCUGGGGUGGAAAGAGCUGGCUCCCUCCAGGUCCCCCAAUCCAAUCCAUUCUGCUCCCGCAGCCCGUGGAGGCUGAAGGGCCCUCCCUCCUUCCAAGCAGGAGUAAGUGGCCAGCCCUUCAUCAGUUCUGGGGUUGAGACCAGACCAAAAGGUCAAGGUCUGACUGUGCACAUGCUGCCCAGGAGUAGCCGGGAACAACGGCACAGCAGUAAACCUCAGCAUGAACAGACUCAGUAAACCAGAUUCUCAUUCACUGUGAGCAGAGCCUGGGCCAAAACAUGGCAGGGAGGGUGUGGAGGUGAGGGUGGUGGUGUCUGUGGUCCUGGACAGGACUGCACUGGAGCAGAGGGUGUGAGGGCCUGGGGAGAGAGACAAGAAAGAGACAGGCAGGGGGAGAGUGAGUGAUGUUGG